UUUUUCUUCCCCUCGGCCCGUUCCCGCUAUGGAGGAGAACACCGACUACGGCAGUAGCAAUAACAAUAACAACACAAGUGCCGGCGGCGGUGGCGGCCAGGAAGAUUUCGCCGAAGGCUCUAAGAUCAACGCCAGCAAGAACCAGCAGGAUGACGGUAAAAUGUUCAUUGGUGGUCUGAGCUGGGAUACAAGCAAAAAAGACUUGACAGAGUAUUUGUCUCGCUUUGGUGAAGUGGUGGAUUGCACAAUAAAAACAGAUCCUGUCACAGGGAGGUCAAGAGGGUUUGGGUUUGUGCUUUUCAAAGAUGCUGCCAGUGUUGAGAAGGUCCUGGAAUUGAAAGAACACAAACUGGAUGGCAAGUUAAUAGAUCCCAAAAGGGCAAAAGCCCUGAAAGGGAAAGAGCCACCAAAAAAGGUCUUUGUUGGUGGACUGAGUCCAGAUACAUCUGAAGAACAAAUCAAGGAGUAUUUUGGCGGUUUUGGAGAGAUUGAGAAUAUAGAACUUCCCAUGGACACAAAAACUAACGAAAGGAGAGGCUUUUGCUUCAUCACAUACUCGGAUGAAGAACCAGUAAAGAAAUUGUUGGAAAGCAGAUACCAUCAGAUUGGUUCUGGCAAGUGUGAGAUCAAAGUAGCACAACCCAAAGAUGUAUAUAGGCAGCAGCAGCAGCAACAAAAGGGAGGCAGAGGUGCCUCAUCUGGUGGGCGUGGGGGAUCCAGAGGACGUGGCAGGGGUCAAGGCCAAAAUUGGAAUCAAGGGUAUAACAAUUACUACGAUCAAGGAUACGGAAGUUACAACAGUCCUUACAGUGAUCAAAGCUAUAGCAGCUAUGGGGGAUAUGAUUAUUCUGGGUACAAUUACCCAAGUUAUGGCUACAGCCAGGGAUAUGCUGACUACAGCGGACAGCAAAGCACAUAUGGAAAGGCAUCCCGAGGUGGCGGUAAUCACCAAAACAACUACCAGCCAUAUUAAAAGAAAUAUUUGGGAAGAAACAGGUGUGUAUUGGGUGAAUGUAUCACCUCUCAUAUAUCUAAUCUAAUUUAAAGAUCAAUAGACAAAUAAAUUUUUAAAAAUCACUUCUCUUGGAUAGCUUAUUUUUUUAAAAAAAACAAAACAAAAUUAAAACUUGUGUGAAUGUCUGUUAAACUUUCUGUUUUAAGUGUCUAUAGAUCUUUAACUCUGUAAAAGGUGAUUCGUCGUCCUUAGUAUGUCAGAGAAACAUAAGAGUUUUUCUGUUUACAUUUUUGUGUGCCAGGUGGUGUAGACGAAUAAUUAAACUUAAUAGAAGUGUUAACCAACAGGUAAAGUACUGAAAUGGGUACAACUUAAGCAAAACAAGAUUGUUGUCUUCUAACCUCUGACAUUAUACCUUGUUUGUACCCGCCAGCGGGAACUUCCUUGCAGGCCGUGUGUCACCCUGACCACGUCUAUCUCUGGGGGUCGCACGUUGCAGGCAGAGCGCAAGGCAUACACCAGAAAACGCUGUCCUGUGGUAGAGACUACAGCAAAGCCAUCUUGCAGAACUUAAAGGACUGACUGGAGGGGGUAGUCUUCGUGACAUGAAAUUGUUUUGUAAAAGACUUUUAGUGUAUGACACAGCAGUGUCUAACUGUACAUAGUGACUGGCUAGUUUUCUUUAUGGUUUUUACUUUUUUGUCCUUUUGUCAUCUGUGUUACGAUGCCAAUGUGGUUCUUGUGUUUAUACAAUUUUAUUUGUAUAAUUUCUUGUUGAAUGACUCAAAUAAAAACUUACCUUCUGUGACUGUUGCAUUUUGAGGUUGUGCUCUUGGCACUGCUGUAUAGUAGCAAGAGGUGAACAGUUUUUGAGACGCCGUUGCCAUGCUUUCUACAGAUGCUGGGACUUGAAGGUCAGCAGCAACUGGAGUGCCGUGUUACGGAUAUGUACCUGGACUAGAAAAUUGCAGUGAGGAGGCUGCAAACAGAGAAUGAUUAUUCAAAAGAGUAGUAUCCUGUGUUGUAAUGCCUUAUGAUUUGUUAUAAUUUUGUUAACUGCUGGGAAUCUUCAGUAUAGAAAUGUUAAUAAAUAAAUUUUCAUGCAUUGAAAUGACCACUUUGUGAUCACAUGAAAAUAGAGGCAAACACAAACCUAAUUUAUGUAGCCAUCAACUUUGGUAAGAUGCUGACUGCUAAAUAAUUGAUUUUUUUUACAACUUGUACUUGAGAAUAUAUUCUGAAUGUACUGCCACCUUUGUUAUUUCUAACCCUAAAGAUAAUGCUGAUAAAAUAUGUCUGCAAAACCA
RNA transcript from Protobothrops mucrosquamatus (brown spotted pit viper), 2262 nucleotides. It is a transcript of the gene named heterogeneous nuclear ribonucleoprotein D like, with no coding region annotated. The record is from RefSeq and is a predicted model, not a curated record. The transcript is spliced from 8 exons. Lineage: Eukaryota; Metazoa; Chordata; Lepidosauria; Squamata; Viperidae.